This 591-nucleotide long non-coding RNA is filed under the name Phasianus colchicus (ring-necked pheasant). Its description in RNAcentral is "lncRNA (ENSPCLG00000010067.1)". Lineage: Eukaryota; Metazoa; Chordata; Aves; Galliformes; Phasianidae. The record is from RNAcentral.
ACAAUCCCAGCUGCCCCAGCAGCUCUAGAAGAGGCUGGCAGAAGGACAUGCUGUCUGAAAGCAGGCCUACCACCUCUGGAUAGGAAUCCAGCUGGCCAAGUGACAUCUAUGCUAACUGUAGUGGUUUUUGCCACAAGGAUUCAGUUGUGCUUGAAGCCAUCACCCUGUCUGGAUGAUGUAAAGACUCUGCAGAGCAUACUGAGGAGAACGUCAUAAAGGUUCCUCCAUGUACCAUUUGGUUUCCCUGAAACAAGCAGUGAUACCAGUCACAUCGCUGUGCUCAUGUACUUCUUACUCAAGUUUGUCCCUAGGCAUUAGAGAGAAGCAUAAGAUUUCCUCUAAUAUUCAUUCUUGUUGAGUUGUGAGUCAUCUUCUCAUUCAAAACAAAUGAACCACCAAAUAAGCAAACAAAGCAGUAGAAACUGUAUUCUUUUCCAGUCACUGGCAAUCAGAGAGAUUCUUUGAACGGCGAAAUGAAGUCAGAUCUACUUUUAUCUGCUUCUUGAACUUUUGAACAUUAUGGACGCCAUUUCUUAUCUUUUGUUCUUGGCAAGAAACUGUAAAUAAAGUGUAGAGCUGAAAAUUUCUACA